Molecule: ribosomal RNA, 735 nt
Filed under: uncultured bacterium
Lineage: Bacteria
Description: bacterial SSU rRNA
Rfam family: Bacterial small subunit ribosomal RNA
Source: RNAcentral
ACUCCUACGGGUGGCUGCAGUGGGGAAUAUUGGACAAUGGGGGGAACCCUGAUCCAGCCAUGCCGCGUGUGUGAAGAAGGCCUUAUGGUUGUAAAGCACUUUAAGCAGUGAAGAAUACAUCAUGGCUAAUAUCCGUGAUGAAUGACAUUAGCUGCAGAAUAAGCACCGGCUAACUCUGUGCCAGCAGCCGCGGUAAUACAGAGGGUGCGAGCGUUAAUCGGAAUUACUGGGCGUAAAGCGAGCGUAGGUGGUUUAUUAAGUCAGAUGUGAAAUCCCUGGGCUUAACCUAGGAACUGCAUCUGAUACUGACAAACUAGAGUAGGUGAGAGGAAAGUAGAAUUCCAGGUGUAGCGGUGAGAUGCGUAGAGAUCUGGAGGAAUACCGAUGGCGAAGGCAGCUUUCUGGCAUCAUACUGACACUGAGGUUCGAAAGCGUGGGUAGCAAACAGGAUUAGAUACCCUGGUAGUCCACGCCGUAAACGAUGUCUACCAGUCGUUGGGUCUUUUAAAGACUUAGUGACGCAGUUAACGCGAUAAGUAGACCGCCUGGGGAGUACGGCCGCAAGGUUAAAACUCAAAUGAAUUGACGGGGGCCCGCACAAGCGGUGGAGCAUGUGGUUUAAUUCGAUGCAACGCGAAGAACCUUACCUGGUCUUGACAUAGUGAGAAUCUUGCAGAGAUGCGAGAGUGCCUUUGGGAAUUCACAUACAGGUGAUGCAUGGCUGUCGUCAGCUCG